Doryrhamphus excisus (bluestripe pipefish) is the source of this 3287-nucleotide long non-coding RNA. RefSeq lists it as uncharacterized. The record is from RefSeq and is a predicted model, not a curated record. Lineage: Eukaryota; Metazoa; Chordata; Actinopteri; Syngnathiformes; Syngnathidae.
GGCGGGGUGUCAUUUGCACUCCUUCAGCAUAGACGUGCAUACAGGGACGGGCCCUUGAGGGAGUCUGGCUGUUUGGAGUGUGUGAGGCUUAACACGUGUGCCAGUGUGACCGACUGAUUAGCGGCGUUUUCAUCGACUGCCUGCGUGCCGUCUGUCAGGAGAGGAGAACUCCAUACUGUUUCACUCUGUCUUUCCAAUCCAGCUGGUUGGCUCCGGCACGCGCCACCUCGCGUCCCCUUGACAUUUGAGCUAUGCUCCAACCUCAGAGAGUUGCUUCGGCACACAAGCAAUAGUUCCUCCUACUCAAGAUGUCGGAGUAGGCAGUUUGUGAGGACCAAGACGAGAGCCCACGCUAAAGGUUACAAACAGCCCCCACCCCCCUCACCAGCCGGAGGUUUAUGUGGCGUGCCGGCAACAAGGUUCCUCUCACCAUGAGUAUCAAUCUGAAUAAUUAAUCUGUUCUAAUUCUUCUAAUUGCUAAUGAAUUAAUUUUGUCAGCAGAGUCAAUGUUUAUUUUGUGUAUUUUUAUAUAGUAUUAUAAUACAAACAUAGUAUAUUAAAUGGUUAAUUUAUGAUGUAUUUAAUUUAUCACUUUUAUUUUGAUGCUGAUAUUUUAACCUUAAUUAUGAUUUGUUAGUUAUUUAGCACAAAUAAGGAUAAUAGUAUAAUAAUUUAAUAAUAAAUAGUAUAAUAGUAAUAGUAGUAAUAAUAGUAAUAAUUAUUAGUAGUAAUAAUAGUAAUAAUAUGUAUUUACAUGUAUUAUCAUACAGUAUACAGCUAAUUUAAUGUAUUUUAAUAUUACAUAAUAUCAGUUACUGUACAUGUAAUUUAUUUCUGUAUAAUGUUGUCACUAAUGCUUUAAAAUAAAAUAAAAAAAUAAAAUAAAAUGAAAAAAUAAAUGCUGUAAAAAAAAAAAAACAAACUUGAAUUAUAUUAGGAAAGCAGGAAGUGAACAAAUGUAACAGUUACUGAUUGUAAAAGUACCAGAUGGAAGGGUAGGAUUGAAUAAGCUUUGCUUCUUCCUACUCCUUUUGGACAUGUGGAACUGUGAACUGAUUAUGGGAUGUACUCAAUUGUAAUCUGAUGCAUGUUCAAAUAAAAUAAAACCAUUACCAUUACCAAAUACAUUUGAUUUCCAAAAUCUUAUGCGACUUCCAGCUUGAUCAGCCCUGCGCUGCGUGACGCAGCCUUCAUGAAAAGUUGACCUAUUUUUAGCAGAGAGCCGCUUCUUCGCACAAACAAACGGAACCGCAGGCAAUGUCACGAUGAGUGACAGCGUGAAUGGGGCGGCCACCAUGACUGAGCUACAUAAGAACAAACAGGUGCCAAUCGGAACUGGACAAUGACAAUAGCAUAAAGGAAUGGUGAGGGAUGGAUCGAAAUAGUACGCUCAAAUCUCACUGCCUUUACUGAAUGGCCUUUGUGGGGAAAACACUGUCGUCUGCACGUGAUGUCAUGGUGGCAGCGAGCCACAGUGCAUGAUGCCUGUCAGUGCUGAACAAACCCAGGAUGCAACCAUGGCACUUUUCUACCCGGAUACACGAAUAUUAUUUAUGCUGGCGUGUUAGCUUUUUUUUCCAAAAAAUGAACUGUACCUAAGAAGUGGAAGCUUUUUAUUUGGCAUGUAACAUCCAACCAUCCAUUUUCUAUGCCGCUUAAUCUCAUUAGGGUUGCAGUGGUUAAUUUACAUGGAACCUAUCAUACAUUUGACUCAGCACCCAUUUUGUGUCCUGUUUCCUGCUGGCCUUCUGCUGGGUUUGGAAACAAGACGAUUCAAGAUUGUGAAGAGCAAACCGGAUUGAAAGGGAACCACACACAGAUUGAAAAUAUUGUUUUCAUGUCUUAACUUCUAGUUAACUUCUUUUUACACUUUUUCUACAGUUAUCGAUGUUUAAAUUCACUAGAAAAUUACCUUUACUGCUAAAAAGUGGUUAACUUCCACGUGUUAUUUAACCUCAAUGUGAAGACUAUUUAUUAUGUUUUGGCUUUUUUGGUUAACUUAUUUUUACACCUGUAAGACACAGCCAUUUUUCAAAAAACAACCCCUUCAGUAUCAGCAGAUUUAGACAUUUUUGCUCUUUUCAGGCACACUGAAUAUUGCGUUCUAUUUAAACAUGGACCCUACCUCAUGCUUUAGAAAAAUAAAAAGUGUAUUUACCGUUUUCUAUUCUUUAGUAAUCAGCAGUAGAUCUCAGUGUAUAGACUGGUCAUAUAUCUCAUCUCGUUUCAUAUUAUCUACAUACUGUAUUGUAUAUAACUCUGGGAAAAACUGUUGAUUUUGUUAAUACUUGGGUUGUUUAUAUUGUUUAUUUUUCUAUAUUGUGUAUUUUGUACUGCUUAACUGAUUCUGUACUUUCUGCUGUGCAAUGCAAAUUUCCCCACUGAGGGACGAAUAAAGGCAUAUCUUAUCUUAUCUUAUCUUAACAUAGGAAAGUUCCAAGAAAAUAUCAGUUCCUGACUACAAAUGUAACUUUCACUUUGAUAAAAGUUUUUUUCCCGUUUUUGACAGCUCAAAUACCUUAACAACGACACCAACAUAAACGACACAAAAAGGUUUCUUUCACUCAAUUUGCACACUUCUUUUUAGACUUAGAAAUGAGCGUCCACGUCCACGUCCACACCACAGCCACUCCAACACGACAAGGGUGCAUGCACCAAUGUCAAACGUUGGGUGGCAGGUGGAAACUCCAUGUGUAUCUUGCGCUGAAAUAUCAUGAAAAUAAAGCAACAGCUGACGUAACACACCUUUUAGGAAGUCUUUCGCUGCCAUGUUGAUGUUACAGACCAAACAUGACAGCCUUGUGCAUCCAUUUGCAACAGUUUACUCAGCCCCCGUGUAGCCAGUCAGGUAGAAUUUGUCUCCUCUCAUCCUUACUGGAUUAGCGACUAAUAUGUAUGCUGAGUAAGGAGGUCAAAGAAAGGUUUUCUUUGUCAUGUUGCUCAUAUUCAUAUUUCACUCGUGGCUCCGCAUGAGAAGCCAGGCUAAUAAGUGGCGGUCGAGGAGAAGGUUGAGAUGCUGAUGCCACUGAUUCUUACGGCAUGGGUGGGCAUUGAACGCUCGUUCAAGCGAAUCACUACUGUAUGUUGUACUUACAGUAAGAGCGAUAUUUGCUAAUGCAGUAGUAUCCGGUGACCGGCACGGGUCCACUUGCAGCCCAAACCUUGUGUUUUCCAGCAUAUUAAAAGAAAAAUGCAUGAACCAGUAGUUUAUAAUAUUGUACUUUUGACAAUUUUUCACAUUUAAUGAGGUACUUCAUUCGGGGGUUUUAUAAAAGCUAUUAUAUACU